CGGCGGCCGUAACUAUAACGGUCCUAAGGUAGCGAAAUUCCUUGUCGGGUAAGUUCCGACCUGCACGAAUGGCAUAACGAUGGCCACACUGUCUCCUCCCGAGACUCAGUGAAGUUGAAAUGUUUGUGAUGAUGCAAUCUACCCGCGGCUAGACGGAAAGACCCCAUGAACCUUUACUGCAGCUUUGCAUUGAACUGUGAACCGAUUUGUGUAGGAUAGGUGGGAGGCAGAGAAGAGGCCACGCCAGUGGUCUUGGAGCCGACCUUGAAAUACCACCCUGAUUUGUUUGCGGUUCUAACCACGGACAGUGAUCCUGUCUUGGGACCGUGCAUGGUAGGCAGUUUGACUGGGGCGGUCUCCUCCUAAAGGGUAACGGAGGAGUACGAAGGUACGCUAGGUACGGUCGGAAAUCGUGCUGAUAGUGCAAUGGCAAAAGCGUGCUUGACUGCGAGAGCAACAACUCGAGCAGAUGCGAAAGCAGGUCAUAGUGAUCCGGUGGCUCUGAAUGGAAGGGCCAUCGCUCAACGGAUAAAAGGUACUCUGGGGAUAACAGGCUGAUACCGCCCAAGAGUUCAUAUCGACGGCGGUGUUUGGCACCUCGAUGUCGGCUCAUCUCAUCCUGGGGCUGUAGCCGGUCCCAAGGGUAUGGCUGUUCGCCAUUUAAAGAGGUACGUGAGCUGGGUUUAAAACGUCGUGAGACAGUUUGGUCCCUAUCUGCCGUGGGCGCUGGAAGAUUGACGGGGGCUGCUCCUAGUACGAGAGGACCGGAGUGGACGCACCUCUGGUGUACCGGUUGUCACGCCAGUGGCAUUGCCGGGUAGCUAAGUGCGGAAGAGAUAACCGCUGAAAGCAUCUAAGCGGGAAACUUGCCUGAAGAUGAGUCUUCCCGGAGGUAAAACCUCCCUCAAGAGUCGUCCGAGACCAGGACGUCGAUAGGUCAGGUGUGUAAGCGCUGUGAGGCGUUGAGCUAACUGAUACUAAUUGCUCGUGAGGCUUGAUCCU
This 1002-nucleotide ribosomal RNA is filed under the name human gut metagenome. RNAcentral's name for it is "bacterial LSU rRNA". It matches the Rfam family "Bacterial large subunit ribosomal RNA", at positions 1928 to 2925 of the family's 2925-position model. The record is from RNAcentral.